Long non-coding RNA from Biomphalaria glabrata, 7518 nucleotides. RefSeq lists it as uncharacterized. The transcript is spliced from 4 exons. NCBI's taxonomy places the organism in Eukaryota, Metazoa, Mollusca, Gastropoda, Planorbidae. The record is from RefSeq and is a predicted model, not a curated record.
GAACUUUUGACUGCGAUUCUCAAAAUUUCUAUUUGUUUUUUCAACAAAGUAUAAAUUAUUUUUUUUUGUGAUUUGUUUCUACAGAAAGCUGUUUGAGUGUUUAAGUGUAUGGUUUAUAAACACUGUACGGAAUACAAUCAUAAUUCUACAUGAGAUUAUAAGCAGCUGUACUUUGGAGCUAAUACCUAAAAGCCUGACGGACGAGAGUCACUGUGUAAUAACUGUUAAUUGUGGCACUUUAUCAAUAAGCUGGCACCCCCGUGGACUUCUCUGUGUAGAAAGAGCUAGAGAUAGUCUAUUUUUAGGGAAUAUAAGUUUGUGUUCAUUGCCUUCUUUUGUUGUAAGUUGUUACGUAACAUCAAACUUAUGGCAGAAAUGUCUCUUCAAUUUCUGGUAGUGAUUGUACUUUUAGUUUGUGUCAACAGCUCUGUAGUCCAGUGUGCAACACCCGAGCCUGAACUGACCUGCUCUGACGCAGUCCAUAUGUGUAAAAAUGAUUUCGCAAACUCGGAUAAAAAAAGGCAUGAUGUGUUACUGUUGAUACAAUGUCUUAAGGCAGCUAGCUGUGACGACAAUGACGAUGAUACAGCCAUGAGAGACAAGGAAGUUUACAUUGCACGGACUAAUGUCCUCCACUAUUCUCCUCUAGAUGACAUGGAAAAUGGCGCCAAAUCAGCACCAGUUGUGUCAGCUGUAACUGUGAUACUCUCUAACAUGGCAGCACUAGUCAUGAUUCAAAGAAGACAGUAAACUGAGUUAUUACUAAUACAACAACAAAAUAUGAACUGAGUUAUUACUAAUACAACAACAAAAUAUGAACUGAGUUAUUACUAAUACAACAACAAAAUAUGAACUGAGUUAUUACUAAUACAACCAAAAAUAUGAACAUUUGUCAUUGAAUAUUUGCGCUUAUAUUAAAACUUCACUGCACGUGAAACAUUUUAAAAAAUUAAAUUGUUAAGAGAAUACGCUAUUCUGUUAAAAUGUAACUUACGAUUCUGUUAAAAUGUAACUUACGAUUCUGUUAUUAUGUAACUUACGAUUCUGUUAUUAUGUAUCUUACGAUUCCGUUAUUAUGUAACUUACGAUUCUGUUAUAAUGUAACUUACGAUUCUGUUAUUAUGUAACGUACGGUUCUGUUGUUAUGUAACUUACGAUUCUGUUGUUAUGUAACUUACGAUUCUGUUAUAAUGUAACUUACGAUUCUGUUAUAAUGUAACUUACGAUUCUGUUGUUAUGUAACUUACGAUUCUGUUAUUAUGUACCUUACGAUUCUGUUAUAAUGUAACUUACGAUUAUGUUGUUAUGUAACUUAGAGCCUGUGUAAGGGGUUUGCGAGGGGAGACAUAGUGUAUCACAGCGCUUGAUGGGGGCCCCUCUUAAUAGAUGAAUCAGUAGUGUACGAGUUCUACGAUGUGCCCCUGGGGCCCGCAAUCCCCUUUUCACCUGCUUGGAACUUAACAUUCUGCACAUCCAAAUUUUCUUUUUAUAUUUCCUAUAAGCUAAUUGCCACAAACUGUACUACAGUCAAACUUAGGUAAACAAGCUGUACUACAGUCAAACCUAGGUACACAUCUGUACUACAGUCAAACCUAGGUACACAUCUGUACUACAGUCAAACCUAGGUAAACAAGCUGUACUACAGUCAAACCUAGGUACACAAGCUGUACUACAGUCAUACCUUGGUACACAUCUGUACUCAGAGGCGUAACUAGGGAUUUGGGGGCCCGGAGAGAUUGACCUCUUUGGGGCUCCUUGCAUUUUGACAUUCGACAUAUGACAUGAGAUAAUGUACGCAAAAAUAUAUAAGCCCCAAAUCAAAUUGGUACAGUAUAUCAGUAAACUAAACAAAAAUUAAUCAUCAAGACUCUUUUAAUGAAUAAUACCUUUGUUUAUUAGCUAAAUAAUGCACUAGUGACAAAUCUAAAUUGAUAUCGCUUCACGUCGUGCAGCAAAGAAAUCUAUAACAUCAACUACAUCGAUACUUUCUAGUAUUUGUGACUUCACUGACAUUAAAAUCAUGAUAAGCUUUCUUGCGUCAUUGUGCUCCUGAGAUAGCUUUUGAUGAACUUGAGCUUUGAGAAUGAUCUCUCACAUGACGUAAUGGAAGUGGCCUGAGUUAGCGGUAUUCGGAGGAGGUUGCAAAGCUUGAGCACACGUAAUUCCCAUAUGAAUCCUGUUUCCUCAAUAUGUCUAUUGGUGAUUGUAUUACUGUUUGUUGAUGAAAAGUGCUCGUGCAUCAAUGACAUCAUUGAAAAAGCGAUUUUCCAUUUUAUUUCAUCAUACAAACAGGAAAAGUAGCACAGUUUGUCACAAGCGCGUCUUCAUCUAACAGGUGUCUUGGUUCAAGAAGAAACCCAAAGGUAUCCAUUUUCUUUCCAGCCUUUGGAAUCUUCCCUUCAUCUCCAUAUGAAAUCUGUCCAUCACAUCUGUUGCAACACGUUUGAAUUGCAGUUCUAUUGACAGUCCUACAUUAGAACUCAACUUUCCAUCAAGUCUUUUCUUUCUUCUGGUUGUUUUGAUUACAGGGAAUCCAUAGUAUUCACUACCUUCUUUUGCUUUUUCGAUGGAUUGGGUUUUUAUCAGUUUCUCAUCAUUUUGCAGAAAGCAUGAAAGGGUACUAAUUUCUUUAGCAGCUUCCCGUAUAUGCAGUCCAGACUUUUGUAGUUUCUUCCGAACUAUAUUAAUUGGGCGCAGGAGCUUUGACCAGAAUUCAAGAUAGGCAAAAAAUUCUUAAUUUUCCACUGCAUGAAGAAGAUUCUGUGCUAAUAUUAUAUGGUAUUACGUCAUUGUUGGUUGUUUAUGUUUUGUGCGAAAGCAAGAGGAUUCAGAGCAUACAAAAGUGGGAAAGAUCCAUAUCUCGUAAUAUAGAAAUACUCCGAUAAGAGGACUGCCGUAUACACAAUCACAACUGCUGACGAGUAGAAGACUCAGGGAAUCAUUCCAACUGAUCACAAACUAUUGAAACCAUCGGUAGCUCAAAAUGCAGAGACAUUACUCAACGAACGACAGAUGAAAAGCAAAGUGAAAUACGAAGCAAAAGCAAGACUACCUAAAGAUUAUUCUGUCGGAGAGUUCGUCUAGGUCAAACAUGGCAGAAAGCAGUGGUCAUAAAAAAAAAACAUUCAGCACCCAGAUCUUACAUCAUAAAGACAAACGAUGGAAAAACAUAGGCUACAGAAUAAGAGUUUCGAUGAAGACAUCUCUGGGUACUAUGAUACCGAUGAAGACAAUGAACUGCAAACUGUUGGAACAAACGAAACAGACAAUUAUAGACCAACGUCUAGAGAACUUGUUGUGCCAGUCAAGACAACAAGAAGUGGACGAAUUGUUAAAGUUCCUAGUAGACAGGGCCGGCCUUAUGCCACUGCAGCCUAUGCGGUCGCAGUGGGCGCCGCGCUUUCAUAGGCCCCGCGCUAAUUCCAAGUGUACAUUAUUAAAUUAAACAAUUAUAACGUAUAUAAAAUAACAGGGUUUUCGCGACCUCCUGAUUUUCCAGAGCCUCCAGGAAAUCUCCUGAAAAGGCAAAAUAUACGAUAAAGUCCUGAACUUUUUUUGAAUUUAUUCAAAUCUCCUGAAGAAUAGACGAAAUUGACAUUUUGGGGUGCCAAUAAAUAAAAAGUGGCAUUGCGAGCUUUUAUUUGAUAAAAAUUUAUUGCAAAGACGAAAGUAGGCCUAUUUUCUAAUUCAAAAAAAAAAAAAAAUUUUGACAUAAUGAUUAUCCCUACCCAGACUAGGCCCCGCGCGAUCCGUUUCGUAUAGGGCCCCGCAAAUGCUAGGGUUCAGUAGAUAUCACUCUUAAGAACUUUAAAAGGAAGGGUGUGAUAAUAACUUCAAAAGGAAGGAUGUGUUAAUAUUAUAUGAUAUAACGUCAUUAUUUAUUUUUUUUUAUGUUUUGUGCGAAAGCUAAAGGAUUAGAUGUAAAUAAAAAGAGAGUUUCCAUUGGAUUGAGGAAAGAUGAAUAAAGGGGUAAUAACUCGAGUGUGAAGUUUAAUUCUGAAAUUAUAGACGCCAAACCCGAAUAAUGGACAAUUUUAUCAUUAUUAAGAAUAACUUUUAGAUCUGUUAUACUCGAUUCUGUAAAUUUUGCUUCAAGGUUAAUUAGUGUAGCUAUAUAAUACUCGCCAUUUAGAUCUAUUAUUAGUAAAGGUAACAAGAUACCUGGAAUUCGCUGUAUAUAAUGCAGUUUUAUUCGUGGCAACAAAGUUUAAAAUAUAACACACAUUUUAAAAAAAAAAAAAAAUUGAUCUCUGUGGGAAAAAAAUAUUUUUAAAAUAUCAACAAAAAUCUAGGUUUAGUCUUUGUGAUAAAUUUAAUCCAUAAAUGUUGAAAAAAAAACACCCGUUGACACUAUUUGUCAAUCAAAUAUAUUAAUUUAUGUAUUAACAAAUAAAUUUCGGACACCCAUUUGGGCCCCCCCCCAGGUGGGGGCCCGGGGGGAUUUUAAAAUUACCCCCCCCCCCUUAGUUACGCCACUGUCUGUACUACAGUCAUACCUAGGUACACAUCUGUACUACAGUCAAACCUAGGUACACAAGCUGUACUACAGUCAUAUCUAGGUACACAUCUGUACUACAGUCCUACCUAGGUACACAUCUGUACUACAGUCAAACCUAGGUACACAAGCUGUACUACAGUCAAACCUAGGUACACAAGCUGUACUACAGUCAUACCUAGGUACACAUCUGUACUACAGUCAAACCUAGGUACACAAGCUGUACUACAGUCAAACCUUGGUACACAAGCUGUACUACAGUCAUACCUAGGUACACUUCUGUACUACAGUCAAACCUAGGUACACAUCUGUACUACAGUCAAACUUAGGUACACAUCUGUACUACAGUCAAACCUAGGUACACAUCUGUACUACAGUCAAACCUAGGUACACAUCUGUACUGCAGUCAAACCUAGGUACACAUCUGUACUACAGUCAAACCUAGGUACACAUCUGUACUACAGUCAAACCUAGGUACACAAGCUGUACUACAGUCAAACCUAGGUACACAUCUGUACUACAGUCAAACCUAGGUACACAUCUGUACUACAGUCAAACCUAGGUACACAAGCUGUACUACAGUCAAACCUAGGUACACAUCUGUACUACAGUCAAACCUAGGUACACAUCUGUACUACAGUCAAACCUAGGUACACAAGCUGUACUACAGUCAAACCUAGGUACACAUCUGUACUACAGUCAAACCUAGGUACACAUCUGUACUACAGUCAAACCUAGGUACACAUCUGUACUACAGUCAAACCUAGGUACACAUCUGUACUACAGUCAAACCUAGGUACACAAGCUGUACUACAGUCAAACCUAGGUACACAUCUGUACUACAGUCAAACCUAGGUAUUCUACUUUAAUUCAUUUCAGAUUUUUGGUUGUGAAUUGAAUUGUUCAAUGACGGAAACAUUUGUUCCCCUAAGAACUAAUGUAGUGUCUAUAUACAUACUCGUUCUUACGGACCAGACACCAUUGUAAAUAUGUCUCUAAUGUAAAACUAAAUAUAUAAUAUAUGUCUCUAAUGUAAAACUAAAUAUAUAAUAUAUGUCUCUAAUGUAAAACUAAAUAUAUAAUAUAUGUCUCUAAUGUAAAACUAAAUAUAUAAUAUAUGUCUCUAAUGUAAAACUAAAUAUAUAAUAUAUGUCUCUAAUGUAAAACUAAAUAUAUAAUAUAUGUCUCUAAUGUAAAACUAAAUAUAUAAUAUAUGUCUCUAAUGUAAAACUAAAUAUAUAAUAUAUGUCUCUAGUGUAAAACUAAAUAUAUAAUAUAUGUCUCUAAUGUAAAACUAAAUAUAUAAUAUAUGUAUAAAACUAUGAAAAAUAACAAAAGUAAAUAAACAUCUAUUGACCUAGGCUAAUAAAGUCAAUUUAAAACAUUUUAUGUAAAGCGGCCAUGGCUUUACAACAACGCUGUGAUGGCAUAAGGAGGAAGGAGAGAAGGUGUAGGGCCUACAGAUUUAGAGUACCCCUUCCGUGAAGUAAUUCUCAUUCUGACUUUAUCAGAGCUCGUUGACUUGGAUAAGUCAUGACCUAUGACCUACUGCGAAGCACGUGGUUGUUAUAUUCAGCCAUCAUUUCUUUUAUUUUCAGUUCAAAAUUCAUUCUGUCUUCCUUUUUGUUCAUUGAAGACUUUCUGGAAACCUUUGCUUCCAAGUGGGCUGCAAUGUAACGUUCGGGUCUUCCUUCAAUAGCGGGCAGAAUCUACCAGACGUAACUCUCGGCCGGUGUUGGCCGGCUUUCCCUAGAUGUUCGACUUCCAGAAAUCUGUUCGGGAUCAAAGACACUUUGGACUCAAAUAAAAUGGUCCAAUACCAAAGUACAAAUUUAAUACUAUUCAUGAACCACUGUGACUUGCUCUAGAUUUCAUAGCUAUGAGUAGGCCUAUCUCAUAUUUGGAGUUAGUUGUUUAUUUGGAAACAACUGUUUUAUGUAUAUUUUCUGGUGUAAAAACUGUUUUAUGUAUAUUUUCUGGUGUAAAAACUGUUUUAUGUAUAUUUUCUGGUGUAAAAACUGUUUUAUGUAUAUUUUCUGGUGUAACAAUGUCUUUAAUGGGUUCCUUGUACUAUUUUUUUUUACCUUACUGUAAUGUUGUUGUUAUUGUUUUUUGGGGGUUUUUUUGCUUUUGUUUUUACUUUUAAUUGUAAUUUUUUCUCGAACGUAACUACAUGUAAUAGUUUUUUGUUGUUGUUUUUGUUUUUUUAAUUCGAUUGGUUUAUUAACAUGGUUGAUUCAUUUAUUUUUUUUAUUUUUUUUUUGGGUACAAUAAAUGUUUUAAGUUUCAACUUAAGUGUACAAUUAUCUAAAGGGACAAAUCCUACAUAUUUAGGUAUAAAGGAAGGAUAAAUUUCCUUUGCUGUUAUCAAACAAAAUAAUUAAUUACCAUUAAUUGAUUGACUAAUUGGUUACUGUUUUUAUUGAUUCAUGCAUUGUCUACUGCAAUGAAUAAUUGUGCAAAGUUUCAACUUGAUUCAAGAAUGGGUGUGGGAGAAAUAACGUGUUCAAACUUUAAACCAGAGUGAGUCCAUAUAAGCUUUGUAAUAAAGCAUUGUCUUCGAGUCCGAAGAUCUAAUUAAAAGGCGUAAUCCUAGUCUUUAUGGGAAUAUGUACAGCAAGUUGUGGCUUUUCUAGUUUUUACUUUUACGUGGAAAUUUUGUCAAGCAUCGUCAUUGUGUACCAUGGUUUUAACUUCUUAGGAUUUUGUAACCGUCUGCUCCUGACUUUGUUGUAACUUUUAAUUGGUUCUCAGAUCUUUAUUUGUGCAGCUAUAGACUUGAACAGACAGAAAAAAAUGUUCUGGAGAUAAUAAACAUUUAUAUUCAACUCAUAUGAAAACACAAAACCAUUUCAACUAAUAUGUUGCUGUAUUCGAAGUUUACUUUUAUAAUUUAGAUGAUGCUCUGAUAAUUUGAUGUCGACUAGCAUUUGAUUUUUAGUGCCUUCGUACACCGUAGGGCCUACAGUUUAAAUACUACAAAAUCUAAAGGAAUAAAAAAAAUUAAAGUGUAAUUAUUGUUU